RNAcentral lists this ribosomal RNA (253 nucleotides) under uncultured bacterium. RNAcentral describes it as "partial 16S ribosomal RNA". It matches the Rfam family "Bacterial small subunit ribosomal RNA", at positions 524 to 776 of the family's 1533-position model. The record is from RNAcentral.
UACGGGGGGGGCAAGCGUUGUUCGGAAUUACUGGGCGUAAAGGGCGCGCAGGCGGCUCUUCAAGUCAGGCGUGAAAGCCCCGGGCUUAACCUGGGAAUUGCGCUUGGGACUGGAGGGCUUGAGUACGGGAGAGGAGAGUGGAAUUCCCAGUGUAGAGGUGAAAUUCGUAGAUAUUGGGAAGAACACCGGUGGCGAAGGCGGCUCUCUGGACCGUAACUGACGCUGAGGCGCGAAAGCGUGGGGAGCAAACAGG